Molecule: long non-coding RNA, 3796 nt
Filed under: Homo sapiens (human)
Lineage: Eukaryota; Metazoa; Chordata; Mammalia; Primates; Hominidae
Description: HSALNT0101197
Source: RNAcentral
AGCUGCAGUACUUUUUGUGUGGUGUGGAAGUGUUUGUUUUUUGCAAUAGAUUUUUGUUGCAGUUUAGGUUUGUAUUUUCUUUGUUUUGUAGUGCUUAUUAUGAAGGUUCGUAGGUUUAUGUCUGUAGGCCAGGCAGGUCAUUAAACUUAACAAAGAAUAAGUAAGUCGGGAGAGGGGAAUAGAAAUCUCCACAUACAUAUUCUUAAAAGCUGUAACACUCACCACAAAGAUCUGCUGAGUGAAGUCUGUGAGACGAACGCACCAAGUCUGGACGCUCUGUCAGGCUACAUUUUACGUUUUUGGGAGUGAGCAGGUGUUAUUCUGUUCCCCGGGUUGGUUUUGAAGUCAUGGCUCUCAAGUAAUUUUUGUGCUUCUCAAAAGUGCUGGAAUUGCAAAGAUCAACAUCAAAAGCUACAAACUGGAAACAGAGGAAGAUACUAGCCCCGUGUUUCUGAUUCAGUAUCACUGAAAUACUUUGGAACCAUAUAAAGGGCAAAGUACAUUCCACAUGUUGAAGGACAGUGCCUGGCCCUGUGGGGUGUCAUCCCCAAGCUGUAGGCAUAGUGGCAACCCAGGGGUUCAUCUCAACUCCCAUCAGAGUUCAAACAUUGAAUUAGUUGUGCAAUGGAAGGAGUAUUACCAGGACCCAGAUGCAGCCCAAGGAAAAAAGAAAACAAAAGGAGACACACACAGAACCCUACAGUCACCAAGCACUCAUAUCUGACAAAUCAGCAUUUAUCUUUUUACCUUCCUGGCAUCUGGCCCAUCCAGUCCUCACUCCUCCAACCCCCUCUGCUGCACUAGGCUCAGGUUAUAAGGUCCAGAUCCAGACAAAAGUGACUGCAUCUUGUAAAGGACCCCAGCACCCCUUGGGCUUUGCCUGAGUGUUGUAAUUGGCAUGACUGUGCUGGAGAGCACGCCUUGUCUUGGCCCUGGGGACCUGAGCACAAAUUCUCUUUUUAAGAUGUGUGUGUUAGGCUCUCCAAAAGAUAUCCACAUCUUAACCCUGGACCUGUGAGUGUUACCUUAUAUGGCAAAAAAAAAAAAAAAAAAAAGACUUUACAGAUGUAAAGUUAAGGAUCUUGGGAUGAGGCAAUUAUCCUGGAUUCUCUAGGGGUAUCCUAAAUGCAAUCACAAGUGUCUUUAUAAGACAGAGGCAGAGGGAGACUUCACACAGACAGAAGAGGAGGAAGCCGUGUGACCUUGGAGGCAGACAUUGGAGCCAUGCGGCUCCAAGCCACAGAAUUUUGACAGCCAGAAGAGGCAAGGAAUGGAUUCUCUCCUGGAGCCUCUGGAGGGACUGUGGCCUUGCUGACUCCUUGAUUUCAGACUUCUCAUCUCCUGCACCGUGAGAAAGUGCACAGUAACGUGCUACAGCAGCAACAGGAAACGGAUAUAGCUCAGAGCCACUCAGACAUUGGGAAGCAAGUUUGUCAAGAUGACAGAGAACCGAGGUAAUGGAUUCGAGUGAUGAAACAGGAAGUUCAUUCAUGAGUUUUUGGCCACACCUCCAAAGUGACGACUUAGCCAGAAAUGGGAUAACUGGGUUUCCCUACUUCUCUUUUAUCAUCCUCAAUGAGAGUGACCAAAUAUUAGAGCUAGAUGGAACCUUAGUGAAAAUCUGGCUACUCGUCCCGUCCCACCAGCCUGCCACCCAUUUCAAGUUUGAAGAGACAAAGACACAUGGACCUUAUGUAAUUACUGGGGAUUACCCCAGGAGUCUGUGGCAAAAGUCAGCUUCUUCCCUCCCUGCUUCCCCGCCCUGUCUCUGGUACUUUCUACCAACACUGGGCUGUUUCUGUGAUCACACUUAAGCGUACCUAACCUGCGAAUGCUGUAUAGAAGGUGCUAAUGAACAUGAUUUAGCUUUAACACUCAGUUUUCUAAAGGGACACGUGGGGGCAGCAAAUGUUUAGGCAAAAACAAUUCCAGUUCUAGCCUCUACUGUCUACAUAUGUGUAUACAUUUGGGAAACGUUUGGGAAAGGGAUAUUUGAGAGCUUCUUUUUCUUUUUUGUGGUUUAGUUAUUUGAUGAUAUUGAGAUUGUUUCUGAGCCAUGUGCUUCAACAUCGGAUUGGGGAUUUCAGAAAAAGUUUUAGUCACUGUGAUUCCAUUUAGCUUCCAAAUGUGUCUCUGCUAAGAGACUUAAAAGCACUCAUAAAUAGCACGUGUGUCUUCUUUGCAGUGUUUGCUAAUUUUGAGUCACAUCUUUUUAGAAAAUCAUGAGAUUUGGUGUCACAGAGACUGGAAUAAAUAUAGUCAAACUUAUUGGUGAAGAUUUCCUUUAGCUGUUUUCAUAAUCCAUUUCCAUUGUUAUGAUUAUUGAUGAAUAAAACAUUUUCUUUAGGUAGAUACUUCUUUUUUCCCCCCACCUUGAUUUAAUGUUUCCACUCUUAUUGUCAAGUUUCUUAUUACUCCCUAAUAACUCUCAAUAAAAUAAUGAUUCCUGGGAGAUUAUUCCUGCUUUCCUACUAUCACCUGUUGAUUUGAAAAGACAGAACAAUACCGUAGAAGCUUCACUAAUACAUUGAAAGAUAAAAUGAUAAUACUAAAUACUAAAAUAUGAAAAGUGAUACUAAAAGUGGAGUCCUGGCACUAGUAUUUUUUUUUUUGAGUCUUUAAAUUUUAUUUAUUUAUUUUUGAAUUUUUUAAAAUUAUAUGUUAUGUUCUGGGAUACAUGUGCAGAACGUGCAGGUUUGUUACAUAGGUAUACAGGUCUGGCACUAGUAUUUUGUUGCCACAAAAUAUCAAGCAUGUAUCCAAACUGCUCAAGACACAUUAAAGACACAGGUAAUCUGUAGGCAUAUUCAGGCUUGUAGUUUGCAUUUUUUGGUUUUCUUGUGGCUUUCAGUGCAAGUUGAGGUAAUUCAUGGGAAACAGUCACCAAAGAAGUGCCAGUAUUAGAAAUCCAAGAGCCAUUUCUCUAGCUUCUUCCAGAAUCAAGACUUUAGAGGUAAUUUCUAUCAACACUGGACAUUUCCUGUCUGCAAUUAACAAUGAACACAUAGCAUUAUGUUUAAUUGCAACCUGUUUAAAGCAGAUUGGAUGCUAAGGUUUAAGAACACUCUUCAGUCAAAAAGGUCUUUUAAUCAGGUUUUUAAUCUUGAGCACAAUCUAGGACACAGCAUCAUAGACUAACUCAUUCGAGAAUAGGUGUUGUCAUCUAAUCCUAACCACCCCCACCACCAACAAGCUGAAUAGCUCUGGGCUCAGUAUAUACAUUUGUACUGGGCUCAGUACACACACCUAAGCUGGGUUCAGUAUAUGCCACUUUAUAGUGAGAGGCAUUUUGUAAUGAGAGCUCUGGGUUCACUAUAUACAUUUGUACUGGGCUCAGUACACACAUCUAAGCUGGGUUCAGUAUAUGCCACUUUAUAGUGAGGGCCAUUUUGUAAUGAGAGCUCUAAGGCUCUAAAAUUCUGUGUUUCUGCUAGUUUCUUCCUCAAGAUAAAACUGUGGAACUCAUAGUGAAUUCCCUCUCUUUGGGCAGUUUGAGCCAGGCCGCUAUUUAAUCACAACAUCACAAGUCAGAUUUUUCCUACCUAGUGUUGGCAGUGGAACACACCAGAACUGCUAAGGCCAAGGAAAUCCCAUUUUUUGAAGAGGCUUUCCUUUGUUAGCUUCUCUUUCUAGUAGUAAAGGUAAAAGAAAAAUAGAUGUUAAAGAUAUAAAUAUCUUAGGGGGUUUUUAUUGGUAUAAAUAUUUGUACACAAAAAGAAUAUGUAAUGUAAACUGGAUAUGUAUUUUUUACAUUUUACUUAACCUGAAUUUUACACAAUCUUUGCUUGAAUGCUCC